RNAcentral lists this long non-coding RNA (403 nucleotides) under Bos taurus (domestic cattle). RNAcentral describes it as "long non-coding RNA NONBTAT008040". The record is from RNAcentral. Lineage: Eukaryota; Metazoa; Chordata; Mammalia; Artiodactyla; Bovidae.
UUCUUGAAGUUCUUUAAGUGCCACAUCAGGAAGACUAGGUUUUGUUUAUAUUAUCCUUUGGAUUGGAACAUAGACUUUGAAUAUGAAAAGCUAAAGACAUUCUAGUGAUAAAUGCAUUGCUCUCUUCUGAAGAAAAAGAUACUCUUAGAACGUUAGUCUUUAUCUUUCUACCAGGAUCUUUAAUAAUAUGUAAGGCAUUGCUUUGGAAAUAAAUUUCUAACUGAUUCUGUCUUAGACUUUCUUAUUAGCAAGACCAAUAGGUAGGAUGUUUUGUGUGUUUAUUUUUGAGCUUAUUUUUGAGCAUGUGUCUGGCUUAUACUCUUGUGUAAGUGAUAAAGUUUAGAAAUAUAAACCUGUAUAGUAUUCAUGUUUGUCUCCUUUUUCCAUUGCUUUAUUUACCUUG